GCCUCAUAACGGCGAGUGAAGCGGCAACAGCUCAAAUUUGAAAUCUGGCCCCCAGGCCCGAGUUGUAAUUUGUAGAGGAUGCUUCUGGCGACGCGACUUCCGAGUUCCCUGGAACGGGACGCCAAAGAGGGUGAGAGCCCCGUCCGGUCGUUCGCCUAGCCUCUGUGAAGCUCCUUCGACGAGUCGAGUAGUUUGGGAAUGCUGCUCUAAAUGGGAGGUAUACGUCUUCUAAAGCUAAAUACCGGCCAGAGACCGAUAGCGCACAAGUAGAGUGAUCGAAAGAUGAAAAGCACUUUGAAAAGAGGGUUAAAUAGUACGUGAAAUUGCUGAAAGGGAAGCGCUUAUGACCAGACUUGGGCCAGGUGAAUCAUCCGGCGUUCUCGCCGGUGCACUUUGCCUGCCCAGGCCAGCAUCAGUUCGCUUCGGGGGAUAAAGGCUUCGGGAAUGUGGCUCCUCCGGGAGUGUUAUAGACCGUUGCGUAAUACCCUGGGGCGGACUGAGGUACGCGUUCUGCAAGGAUGCUGGCGUAAUGGUCAUCAGUGA
This 543-nucleotide ribosomal RNA is filed under the name Geosmithia sp. RNAcentral describes it as "LSU rRNA". It matches the Rfam family "Eukaryotic large subunit ribosomal RNA", at positions 77 to 647 of the family's 3401-position model. Lineage: Eukaryota; Fungi; Ascomycota; Sordariomycetes; Hypocreales; Bionectriaceae. The record is from RNAcentral.